RNAcentral lists this ribosomal RNA (503 nucleotides) under Salmonella enterica. Its description in RNAcentral is "partial 23S ribosomal RNA". It matches the Rfam family "Bacterial large subunit ribosomal RNA", at positions 1 to 543 of the family's 2925-position model. The record is from RNAcentral. Lineage: Bacteria; Pseudomonadati; Pseudomonadota; Gammaproteobacteria; Enterobacterales; Enterobacteriaceae. RNAcentral also lists the same sequence under 8 other names.
GGUUAAGCGACUAAGCGUACACGGUGGAUGCCCUGGCAGUCAGAGGCGAUGAAGGACGUGCUAAUCUGCGAUAAGCGCCGGUAAGGUGAUAUGAACCGUUAUAACCGGCGAUUUCCGAAUGGGGAAACCCAGUGUGACUCGUCACACUAUCAUUAACUGAAUCCAUAGGUUAAUGAGGCGAACCGGGGGAACUGAAACAUCUAAGUACCCCGAGGAAAAGAAAUCAACCGAGAUUCCCCCAGUAGCGGCGAGCGAACGGGGAGGAGCCCAGAGCCUGAAUCAGCAUGUGUGUUAGUGGAAGCGUCUGGAAAGGCGCGCGAUACAGGGUGACAGCCCCGUACACAAAAGCGCAUGUGCUGUGAGCUCGAUGAGUAGGGCGGGACACGUGGUAUCCUGUCUGAAUAUGGGGGGACCAUCCUCCAAGGCUAAAUACUCCUGACUGACCGAUAGUGAACCAGUACCGUGAGGGAAAGGCGAAAAGAACCCCGGCGAGGGGAGUGAAA